This 67-nucleotide transfer RNA is filed under the name Marmota marmota marmota (Alpine marmot). It matches the Rfam family "tRNA". From Rfam's summary of the family: Transfer RNA (tRNA) molecules are approximately 80 nucleotides in length. Lineage: Eukaryota; Metazoa; Chordata; Mammalia; Rodentia; Sciuridae. The record is from Rfam by way of RNAcentral. RNAcentral also lists the same sequence under 2 other names.
GGUUGUGGCUCAGUGGUAGAGCGCUUGCCUAGCAUGCAUGAGGCACUGGGUUCAAUCCUCAGCACCA